GGUGAAGGAGAUGGUCGGGCGGUCGGCGGGCCGAGACACCGGCAGCCAUUUGUACUGGAGGUCCUGAUCCGGAGGGUCCAGGCUCCAGUCGUAGUGCUCUAACAGGCUGGUGUCACCCCUUUGACAACAUGUUUGCUGACACACACCUGCUUCCAGAGGGACCGCCCCCACAUGGGAAAUAAACCUCUGUGCUUCCUGCUGUCACACCUGUAACACAUCUGUCCUGUUCUGCUGCUUUCCAUAGGCUGUGUACGGACCAGUAUAGGAGCUGGUGGCAACGCUUUCAGUCAGUUGGGCAUCGAGGGAGAAAGGACGAGGAAAACCAUCCACAGAACCACCAAAGCGGCAGGAAAAGCCUCAAGACGGCUCGAGAUCCAUGGAGUCAUCGAAACGUCCGAUGAUUACAGGAGCAACCAGCAGAUGUUUAGUCACGGAUAAGUUCAAAGAUCAAGGACUCAAACUACAAGGAACAGACAUGCCGUUUGCUGCAACAGAAAAGAUGUUCGCCAAAACUCAGUCAAAUGCGACAUGAAUUUCUUGGAAAAUUUCACAAACAAGCUCCAAGAGGAAAGCAGAUUUCGGCGUGGCAUAAGAAGAGGAAGGCCGUUAGUGUCGGAAAAAAGGAUGUUUCAGAAGUGGUGCACACAUUGAACUUCUAAUAGCUUUGGAACAUUAUGAAAUUACCUUCCCCCAGAGUUUCCAUUUGAAAUUUCUAGAAUAAAACAUUUUACGUCAAAAAUAAA
This is a long non-coding RNA of Acanthochromis polyacanthus (spiny chromis), 743 nucleotides long. RefSeq lists it as uncharacterized. The record is from RefSeq and is a predicted model, not a curated record. The transcript is spliced from 4 exons. Lineage: Eukaryota; Metazoa; Chordata; Actinopteri; Pomacentridae.